This 497-nucleotide ribosomal RNA is filed under the name uncultured bacterium. RNAcentral describes it as "partial 16S ribosomal RNA". It matches the Rfam family "Bacterial small subunit ribosomal RNA", at positions 28 to 507 of the family's 1533-position model. The record is from RNAcentral.
GAUGAACGCUGGCGGCGUGCCUAAUACAUGCAAGUCGAGCGAACGGACGAGAAGCUUGCUUCUCUGAUGUUAGCGGCGGACGGGUGAGUAACACGUGGAUAACCUACCUAUAAGACUGGGAUAACUUCGGGAAACCGUAGCUAAUACCGGAUAAUAUUUUGAACCGCAUGGUUCAAAAGUGAAAGACGGUCUUGCUGUCACUUAUAGAUGGAUCCGCGCCGCAUUAGCUAGUUGGUAAGGUAACGGCUUACCAAGGCAACGAUGCAUAGCCGACCUGAGAGGGUGAUCGGCCACACUGGAACUGAGACACGGUCCAGACUCCUACGGGAGGCAGCAGUAGGGAAUCUUCCGCAAUGGGCGAAAGCCUGACGGAGCAACGCCGCGUGAGUGAUGAAGGUCUUCGGAUCGUAAAACUCUGUUAUUAGGGAAGAACAUAUGUGUAAGUAACUGUGCACAUCUUGACGGUACCUAAUCAGAAAGCCACGGCUAACUACGCG